UCCCUGGUGGCUCAGACAGUAAAGCAUCUGCUUACAACGCAGGAGACCUGGGUUUGAUCCCUGGGUUGGGAA
Molecule: non-coding RNA, 72 nt
Organism: Bos taurus (domestic cattle)
Lineage: Eukaryota; Metazoa; Chordata; Mammalia; Artiodactyla; Bovidae
Source: Rfam